GACGAACCGGACGAACGUUAUUCGGAAUCACUGGGCUUAAAGCGUGCGUAGGCGGCGUGGUAAGUUGGAUGUGAAAUCCCUCGGCUUAACCGAGGAAUUGCGUUCAAAACUGCCUCGCUCGAGGGAGAUAGGGGUGAGCGGAACUAAUGGUGGAGCGGUGAAAUGCGUUGAUAUCAUUAGGAACACCGGUGGCGAAAGCGGCUCACUGGGUCUUCACUGACGCUGAGGCACGAAAGCUAGGGUAGCGAACGGG
Molecule: unclassified non-coding RNA, 253 nt
Filed under: uncultured Pirellulaceae bacterium
Lineage: Bacteria; Pseudomonadati; Planctomycetota; Planctomycetia; Pirellulales; Pirellulaceae
Description: contains 16S-23S intergenic spacer region
Rfam family: Bacterial small subunit ribosomal RNA
Source: RNAcentral